This 253-nucleotide ribosomal RNA is filed under the name uncultured bacterium. Its description in RNAcentral is "partial 16S ribosomal RNA". It matches the Rfam family "Bacterial small subunit ribosomal RNA", at positions 524 to 776 of the family's 1533-position model. The record is from RNAcentral.
GACAGAGGAGCCAAGCGUUGUCCGGAUUGACUGGGCGUAAAGCGCACGCAGGCGGCCCGGCGCGUGGGGUGUGAAAGCUGGCGGCUUAACUGCCAGAUGCCAUCCCAUACGGCUGGGCUCGAGCCCUGCAGAGGUCCAUGGAAUUCCAGGUGUAGCGGUGAAAUGCGUAGAUAUCUGGAGGAACACCGGUGGCGAAGGCGGCGUCCUGGACCAAUACUGACACUGAGGAGCGAAAGCCAGGGGAGCAAACGGG